CCUACGGGAGGCAGCAGUGAGGAAUAUUGGUCAAUGGGCGAUAGCCUGAACCAGCCAAGUCGCGUGAGGGAAGACGGCCCUAUGGGUUGUAAACCUCUUUUGUCGGGGAGCAAGGUCGCUACGUGUAGCGAUUUGAGAGUACCCGAAGAAAAAGCAUCGGCGAACUCCGUUCCAGCAGCCGCGGUAAUACGGAGGAUGCGAGCGUUAUCCGGAUUUAAUGGGUUUAAAGGGUGCGCAGGGGGUCUGGUAAGUCAGUGGUCAAAGCCCGGGGGUUAAACCCGGCCCGGCGUUUGAAACUGGCAGUCGUGAGUUGGAGAGAGGUAUGCGGAAUGCGCGGUGUAGCGGUGAAAUGCAUAGAUAUCGCGCAGAACUCCGAUUGCGAAGGCAGCAUGCCGGCUCCACACUGACGCUGAGGCACGAAAGCGUGGGUAUCGAACAGGAUUAGAUACCCUAGUAGUC
Molecule: ribosomal RNA, 459 nt
Filed under: uncultured bacterium
Lineage: Bacteria
Description: partial 16S ribosomal RNA
Rfam family: Bacterial small subunit ribosomal RNA
Source: RNAcentral